This 73-nucleotide transfer RNA is filed under the name Oryzias luzonensis. Its description in RNAcentral is "tRNA-Lys". It matches the Rfam family "tRNA". From Rfam's summary of the family: Transfer RNA (tRNA) molecules are approximately 80 nucleotides in length. The record is from RNAcentral. Lineage: Eukaryota; Metazoa; Chordata; Actinopteri; Beloniformes; Adrianichthyidae.
CACCAGGAAGCUAAAAGGGAGUAGCAUUAGCCUUUUAAGCUAAAAAUUGGUGGCUCCCGCCCACCCCUGAUGA